RNAcentral lists this ribosomal RNA (500 nucleotides) under Cryptococcus sp. (in: basidiomycete fungi). RNAcentral's name for it is "eukaryotic LSU rRNA". The stretch from base 128 to 281 matches the Rfam family "5.8S ribosomal RNA". Lineage: Eukaryota; Fungi; Basidiomycota; Tremellomycetes; Tremellales; Cryptococcaceae. The record is from RNAcentral.
UGCGGAAGGAUCAUUAUUGAUUGGUCGAAAGACCUUAUCAGAUUCUACCACCUCUGUGAACUGUUGGACCUCCGGGUCUACAAUCAAACAUCAGUGUAACGAACGUAAGAGUAUCUUAACGAAACAAAACUUUCAACAACGGAUCUCUUGGCUCUCGCAUCGAUGAAGAACGCAGCGAAAUGCGAUAAGUAAUGUGAAUUGCAGAAUUCAGUGAAUCAUCGAAUCUUUGAACGCACCUUGCGCCUUUUGGUAUUCCGAAAGGCAUGCCUGUUUGAGUGUCAUGAAAUCUCAAUCCUCCUAGGUUUUUGACCUGGUUGGGCUUGGACAUGGGCGUCUGCCAGCAAUGGCUCGCCUUAAAUGACUUAGUGGAACAUCCCACAUCAGUGUUAGACGUAAUAAGUUUCGUCUCUCCUUGUGGUGAUGACUGCUCAUAAUCUGCCAUCGCGCACUUUUGACUUUGACCUCAAAUCAGGUAGGGCUACCCGCUGAACUUAAGCAUA